Long non-coding RNA from Aethalodelphis obliquidens (Pacific white-sided dolphin), 510 nucleotides. RefSeq lists it as uncharacterized. The transcript is spliced from 3 exons. NCBI's taxonomy places the organism in Eukaryota, Metazoa, Chordata, Mammalia, Artiodactyla, Delphinidae. The record is from RefSeq and is a predicted model, not a curated record.
AGGCCGCGGGCAGCGAUGGGGGCGCGGACCGGAAAGAGGGUUCGUCUCUGCGCAGCACCCCAAAAGACUCUGCCCCGCCCCAGUAUCCUUCCUCAGUCUCGGCCCGUGAUUGUGUCCCCUCGGCUUGAUCCUGGGUAGGUGCUGGGAGUGGAAGGUGUCCUGAAAUUAGAAACAGGAGUCUGGCCGGAGCAGUUGGCCCCCUUUGAUUUGGACCUAACUCUACGCGGAAGUAGAUUCAUUUAUUCAUUCAACUUGAUGAAUUCUGGUGGGCAGAGUGAAAACUGAAGAUUGGCCCGGAGACAGUGCCACUAUUGAGCCUUAACUUUGUUCCAAGGAACAUUGUGACCUGACCUAGGUGGACAGCUGCAAGAACAAAGGAUUCCUACACCAAGAAGUGUGCAACAAACAACCAUGCCCCUCCCUCAUCUGGCCUUUAAAAAUGCUUUGCUGACUAUUUACAAUAGCCAGGACAUGGAAGCAGCCUAUGUGUCCAUCGACAGAUGAAUGGAU